Molecule: non-coding RNA, 71 nt
Organism: Amblyraja radiata (thorny skate)
Lineage: Eukaryota; Metazoa; Chordata; Chondrichthyes; Rajiformes; Rajidae
Source: the annotation of a RefSeq genome assembly
GGCACCAUGGCUUAGUUGGUUAAAGCAUCUGUCUAGUAAACAGAUCCUGGGUUCAAAUCCCAGUGGUGCCU